Long non-coding RNA from Homo sapiens (human), 7676 nucleotides. RefSeq lists it as uncharacterized. NCBI's taxonomy places the organism in Eukaryota, Metazoa, Chordata, Mammalia, Primates, Hominidae. The transcript has 2 exons. The record is from RefSeq and is a predicted model, not a curated record.
UUUUUUUUUUUUUUUGAGACGGAGUCCUGCUCUGUCACCCAGGCUGGAGUGCAGUGGCGUGAUCUUGGCUCACUGCAAGCUCCACCUCCCGGGUUCACACCAUUCUCCUGCCUCAGCCUCCCGAGUAGCUGGGACUACAGGCACCCGCCACCACGCCUGGCUAAUUUUUUGUAUUUUCAAUAGAGACGGGGUUUCACCAUGUUAGCCAAGAUGGUCUCGAUAUCCUGACCUCGUGAUCCACCCACCUCGGCCUCCCAAAGUGCUGGGAUUACAGGCGUGAGCCACUGCGCCCAGUAGAUCACAUGUUUUUUUUAUCUUAUCAGUGUGAUAUAUUAUAGUGUUUUUCAUAUGUGAAACUAUCCUUGUACUCCAGGGAUAAAUCCACUCGGUUAUUGUGCAUAAUACUUUUAGUACGCUGCUGAAUUCAGCUUGCUAGUAUUUUGUUGACAAUUUUUCCAUCAAUAUUGAUCAGAGACUUUGGUCUGUAAUUUUUAUUUCUUGUAGUGUCUUUGUCAGGCUUUGGUGUGGGUAAUGCUGCUGUCAUAGAAUGAGUUAGGAAAUGUUCCACCCUCUUCAACUUUUUGAAAGAGUUUGAGACUAUCAAAAGAUUUUUUAGCAAUAACCAGUACUUCCAUCCUUACUGUAAGUCAUUAUUAAGAAAGAUGAAGGCCUAGUUUUUGCUCUUGAGGAAUUUGUCAUAUGAGAAUGAAUCAAAGGAAACCUAGAAAAAUCAGCUGUAUAAAUGGACAUAUUUAUACAACUCUACAGGGUAGGUGGAGGAAUGCAGAGUAGGAAAGUAUUGGUGAAAUCACAGGGAUGCAGUCAGAUUGUCCAGCCCAAAAUGGGAAUCUGGAAAUCAACAGCAGUCAAAGGGACUGGAAAUACUAAGUAUAAUUGCAAUUUAAGAAUAUUAACUUAUGAUACUAUUGGGUAAUAGAAUUUCUAAGACUCCAUCAAACUAAAUUUUCCCCUUUCCUUUCCCUAAGGAAAGGCCCUAAAUUACUCUUGAGGAAUUCUCACUCAGGCAGCCACUGUAGAGCCCCAACUCCUGAGAAAAAGAUUUUACUCUAUUUUGUAUCAUAUACAUCUGUUAUAAUGCAUCUAAAUAACUGGAUCCUUUAAAAAUCAUCUGUUCUGGCCAGGCGUGGUGGCCCAUGCCUGUAUUCCCAGCACUUUGGGAGGCCAAGGCAAGAGGAUUGCUUAAGCCCAGGAGUUCGAGACCAGCCUGGGCAACACAGGGAGACCUUGUCUCUAGAAAAUACAAAAAAUUAGCCAGGUGUGGUGGUGUGCACCAGUAGUCUCAGCUACUUGGAGGCUUGAGCCCAGGAGGUUGAGACUGUAGUGAGCUAUUAUCACACCACUGCAACCCAGCUUGGAUGACAGAGUGAGACCAUAUUUCAAAAAAGAAAAAAACCUGUUCUCAACAAUUUGUCAUAUAAUUAAACUGUGGUAUAAAACAUAACUGAGGAAAGCUCAUACCUCCUGCUUGCUUUCCAUUAGCCAAACUGUCUUAAGUAGUGCCGCUAUAUUGAUUUGAUCAAAUCUGGAUGAUUAGUAGAAUGUUUUGAUUCCUGAGAUUGAUCCCUGAAGAUUUUGAUCCACUGCAGAUGAGAAAACUAGUUUUCAGAAGUUCCCCGGUGAUUCUGAUCAGCUGGGUUUUGGUGAUUAGAAUUCCGUGGGAUGCAAUUCGUCUGGAGUUCUCUAGCGUGUUCCUGUAAGGUCUCUGCCAAGCCAGAGUUGAUCUGACAUGGGGAGAGUUGUCAGAAAACCAAAUCAUUUCAGGAUUGCUCAGGGAAAACUUACACGGGGUGUAGCACCUGUCUUCUCAUACAUCGUUUGAAGAGCUGCUGUCUAGGGGAUGUUUUGCUUCUAGGGUUGAAUUGGGACUGCAUUGAAAAGGACAGAGAGCCACAUACUGAGUACAAGUAAGAGCUUCCUGGUUGUUCAGCAGGGAGAGGAGCUGACAUACUAAGAAAUAAAGUGUCAAACGUACGUCAUUAGACUGUUCAUAGGUGGGGUUCUUAACACUGGCUGGAACAAGCUUGUGCAACCCGCGGCCCAUGGACUGUAGGCCGCAUGUGGCCCAACACAAAUUCAUCAACUUUCUGAAAACAUUAUGAGAUUUAUACAUGAACCUUUUAAAAAAAUUUUUAGCUCAUCAGCUAUUGUUAGUGUAUUUUAUGUGUGGCCCAAGACAGUCCUUCCAGUGUGGCUCAGGGACGCCAAAAUAUUGGACACCCCUGGGCUAGAAGGUUGCGCAGGAUAACCUUAAGCUUCUUCCCAGGUGAGGCAGCUAAGACUGGGGAACUUACCCAAGGUCACUGGUAAAUGGCCAAGCUAGUGCCUGAGCAUAUAUAUAUAUAUAUUUUUUUUUUUUUUUUUUUUUUUUCGAGAUGGAGUCUUGCUCUGUGUCACCUAGAUUGGACUACAGUGGCAUGAUCUUGGCUCACUGCAACCUCUGCCUCCCGGAUUCAAGCAAUUCUGUCUCAGCCUCCCGAGUAGCUGGGAUUACAGGCGCCUGGCUCAUUUUUGUAUUUUUAGUAGAGACAGGGUUUCACCAUGUUGGCCAGGCUGGUCUCGAACUCCUGACCACGUGAUCCACCUGCCUGGGCCUCCCAAAACGCUGGCGUUUUGGACCUGGGCCCAUAUUUUCUAUUCCAGGGCUCAUAUUUAGUUCUGCAUUAUGCUGUCCUUUGUCCUUUAAAAUAGCUGGACCUAGAGUGCUGUAACACACUAUAGGGAGAGUUUACAUUGCCACUGGUCAUUAGGAUGGCAACUAUCCCAUCACCAGUUCCUGACUAGAACAGAGGUGGGUUGAACAAAACACCAGUCUGAAGAUUUUAGAGUGGCAGUCAAGUUUAUAUCACCUUCAGUGUGAGCAGGCGGGGUGGUGUCAAAGUGACAUUACUGGUGUUGGGUAAGUCUAUGCUGCAUUAAUAAAACACUUCCCACCAUCUCUCAAAACACCUUCCUUUGAAGAUUCAGGUUCUUCAGACUGAGGAGCCUCUGAAUCGUGACUAGCUUGAUAGAAGACUUUACAUUAAAAAGUAACUGAGAGAUGGUCUAUUCACCUUGCAUGACUGUGCUAUCUUUAAUCAUCAAUCUUUGAAGUGCACACUGGGUCAUUCGUAAGCAAGAUUACAGAGAAUAAAAUAGAAUUUUGAUACCACUGUAUUCGCCAUGUCAUUACAAAGUCUGUAUCCACUGUCAGGCCCAGAAACAAGACAGUAAUAUACUGUCUGCACAUUUUGAGAUGAGAAAUGCAAUGAUUGUGUUGUUUUUAAACUAGUUGCUGGAACUUUUUUUUUUUUUUUUCUGGUAGCUUUUUCCUUCAGUUAGAAACCAUUUUCCAAACAAUAUUCUUAGGCUACAAAAAUGAAUGUUUUUGUGGGUGGACUUUUACUGGAUGCUAGUUAUUUAUAACCUAUUGAAGUUUUACAUUUAAGAAGGAAAAAUGAUAGAAUGAGGAGGAAAGUAGACAUAAAAUUUCAUGUCAAUGGAAUAGAUUAUUAUUCCGUUAGAUACAAUAGAUUAUUAUUCCAUUAGAUGUAAUGGAAACCUCAGAAAACAGCUGCAAAUAAGCAUCUGACUUAUUUUCCCAAUACUACAUAUGUUUAUCAUUCCCUAAAUCAUCAGUUGUUGCAUUUUGAUUAAAUUGGUUUGUUGAACACAUGUAUUUUUAAAUUUUCUGCAAAAAACAAAUUCCUAUCAUGAACACAAAGUAGGGGCAUCGCAGUAUCUGGAUUUCUACACAUUAUUUGUACUCUGUAUUUUACUACCUAUUAAACUAUUGAUUAGAACUGAUUUGAAAUUCCAUUAAUUUACCUUUCCGCGUGUGAAGUUACAAAUCGAGAUGAGGUUUAGGAUCCUGUGCCACAGUGUGCAGGGGUUGGGAGAUGAGUCCUUGUAGAAGAUACUGCUGGGUGUGGAGCAGAGUUCAGAAGGUGACAAGCCUUAACCAUGGGAGGGAGUCCUAGGGGAGGAUGCCUGCGCUUCCCUGGCUUGCACAGCUAGGUCAAUGGAGGAGGCUUUUGCUGAGAAUCUAGGAAGAGAACCAGCUUUGGGGGCAUGAGUGUUUCAUGGUAUGGAUGUACCACAGUUUACCAGCAUUCGCUUUUAAUAAAUUGACCUUGCUCAGCAGUUCUGGGAGCUGUAAUGGAAUGAGAAUAAUUGGAAUUCACAUGCCCAGGGUAUACCUAUUAGCCUAUCCCACAUCCCACAUGUGCAAAACUUAGUUAUUAGGAUUUGAGAUUAGGUGGAGUUGAAAUGGCUAUUAGGAUUCUUAAUUAGACUCUGUUUUUGGUGUGCUCACAAACUGUGUUAUAAAGUCUAUAGUGAUUCUGAGGCAUUUGAUAAUUGAGGACACACUGGUAAAACCAAACUAACAGCCUCAUGUUGAAGAGUGCUGGUGAGUGGCUAUUGAAAAUUUCUGCCAGAAACUAGUUGCAUCUGUAUCAUUUGAUCUAGCAUAAAACAUUUCCUUUUCACUUAUGGAAAGACACAUCUUAAAAACCCUUGAAAGGGUUUAGGACAAGAAAAAAAAUUCAUUUGCUUGGCAAUUUGCACAUGUUUGGAGAGUUUUGUGAAGUGAACUGACUGCUAGAUAGGUUAAAGCCAGCCUAAUAGCAAAUGGAAUUGACCUGGAUGUUGCUCUCUGUCAUAGAUGCAGAUGUUUCAGGCAAACAGGAGGUAAGAUGACUCGAGUGCAGCCUUUCAGCCUCAUCUGGUGCGAUAGCCCCUUGGGGUUAGGUUUGCUACCAGGCUCUCUAAGGAAAUUCUGUCGUCAAGAGUUAUCUGUGGCAGUGUCACUUUCUCUGACACAGGUCUGUUGGCAUCCUUCCCAGCACCAAUCUAGAUCUGGACUGGUGAUCACUUGUUGACCAUAAGGUGUUUAUUAUUAUUAUUAUUACUGUUCUGUUUUUGAGGCAGAGUCUCACUCUGUCACCCAGGCUGGACUGCAGUGGUGCAAUCAUGGCUUACUGCAGCCUUGACCUUCGGGGCUUAAGCAAUUCUCCCACCUUAGCCUCCUGAGUAGCUAGGACUACAGGCAACUGCCACCAUACCUGGCUAAUUAUUUUAUUUUUUGUAGAGAUGGGGUCUCACUUUGUUACCCAGGCUGGUCUUGAACUCCCGGGCUCAAGCGAUUCGCCUGCCUUGGCCUUCCAAAGUGCUGGGACUACAGGCAUUGAGCUACUGCAUCUGGGUGAUCAUGUUUACUGCCAUUCCUUUUGUUAUAUUUGAUUUAAUUUUUUAAUUUUUUUUUUUUUUCCUUAGAGACAGGGACUUGCUCUGUCGCCCAGGCUGCAGUGCAGUGGUGUGAUCAUGGUUCACUGCAACCUCAAAUUCCUAAGCUCAAGUGAUCGUCCUGCCUCUCAGCCUCCUGAGUAGCUGGAACUACAGACAUGCCAUGAUGCCUGGCUAAUUUUCAAAUUUUUUGUAGAGAUGCGGUCUCGCUGUGUUGCCCAGAUGGGUCUCAAACUCCUGGCCUCAAGUGAUCCUUCAGCCUCAGCCUCCCAAAGCGCUGGGAUUACAGGUGUGAGCCACUGUGCCGGGCCAUGCCUUCUCCUUUGUAUGUUGAGCUAAGCAUACACACUUUAAGUAGGCAGUGAGCCAGCUCUUCACAGCCUCAUGACCUUGAACAAGUUGCAUAGCCCUCCUAAGCCCACAUUUCCCAUUUGUAAAAUGGCUAAAGUAAUACCAUCUUGAAAGACGUGAAACUCAACUGAGAAACUUAACCUCACACAGUUUGUGGCAAUAAUUCCCCAAAUAGUGUCAUCUAGAAAUAUGCUAAAACCCAACUGUAAUUACCCAGAUAUUUAUUGAACAUGCGUUAUGUGAAGAGCAUCGUUAUCAGUUGUUGCAAGGAAUGUAAAGAUGCCUAAGGCAAUUUCCAUUCUCAUGGCGCUUUCCGAUGUAGAAGAGGAGUUUUUGUUGUUAAAGGCUAGACAAAAUCUAUGUAAAAUGUCCUUUGGGUUCAGAGAAAGGAGUUACCAGAGGAAGCCUGCUGUGGUUAGGAGUGCAGGUUCUAGAGGCAGAUCACCUUCAUGCCCCAGCCCCACUCCGGGUGUUAUCCUGGGCACCCGCGCCUCAGUGUCCUUAUCUAUGAAACAGAGAGCGUUAUGGAUGCCUGCUUAGCUCAGUGUUAGGAGGAUUCCAUGAGUGAGCAUUUAGUUGAAAGUGCUCCGUAAAUGUUAGUAAUUAUCUGUUCAUUCAGCACAUAUUUAUUGAGUGCCUACUGCAUUCAAUUACCAAGAACAGCAAGUUGAGUGAGAUUUUGUAUAUGCAGUUUGGUGAAGGAAACACAAAUCAGUAAUGAGUUGCAGGGAUACAAAGUGUUGAGAGCCAUAAUGGGAGCAUAAAUAAGAUGAUGCAGGAACACCGGGAAAAGGCAUCUAAAUCAUAUUACUGAGCAGAAAAGGCCUCAGGGGAAAUAGCACGUGAACUGAGCUUCCAAGAAGUCAGGGUUAUUUAGAUCAAAGAUAGGGUGGAGGCGGGCGGCAUUCUGGGUUUCAAGAAAACAGUCCAUGAGAAGGCAUGGUGGCACACACAAGCAUCACACGUCUGGGAAGUACAGCUUUCAUGUGGCUGCAGUACACUUGGCAAUAUUUGGCGAGAAAAGGAGGAUUCUAAUCCCCAAGGGCCCUUUUUAUCCAGGGAAUAGCAUUUCAAGGUUCAGUGGAGGAGAACCCCAAGAGCACCAAAAUGGAAAGAUGAUUUGUAAAGCUGAGGAAAAUGUCCAGCUGUGUUUUUAUGAGGACUCUCACUGCACUGAUAUGACAGAUGACACCUUCCCUCAACACUGUUCAUCAUUGACUGCUGAGGGCUCCUUCUUCAGUUUAUAACAGGAUGGUAACUUCAUAAGCAAUGUAGGACUUUCACAGGGUUCCACACGAAGCGUGUCUGGAUAAUUCAGCCAAGCUCUUCAGUCUCCAGCAGUGAUGGAAUCAGGAGCUCGCUUGGCCAGCCCUCUAAUGACUCAGUCACAGGGUCAUCCACUUGGGGGUGUGAGGAGAGGAGGCUUCUCCCCGCAAGUGCUUUCGGGGUGAUGCCGUAGAUUCUUUGUACCUCAGGAGUUACUUUUGCAAUUAGAGGUUCUCUCUCUCUCUUGGUAUUUUAUGCAUCUAAUUCUGCUUUUCUAUGCAUGAGUCUUGUCGGAUUCAGGCACAGCAAUAAGUCUCCAAAAUAGGGUCAGAGUGAGUUUAAUGAAGAAGUUAUUGUUUUCUUAAGGAUGAAAAUAAACAGAGAGAAUGCCUUAUUACAUAAUCAAUAACGUCGGCCUCUUGAUUAAAACACAAAUGCAAUUUAGCCCGAAAUUAUUCUCUAGUUUGAUGUUCUACAAAAUUAGAUUACGAUAAUAAAUGAUUGGACCUCUUAAGCACAGGCAGGUGUCCACACGCUGAUAGCCUCUGGAGGAGCAGGCUUCCCAAUCCGGAUUUCCUACGGAUGAAAGUUUAGGAAGAUGUAGUACUGAUCCCAACAUCUCACUCAUAGUUUCUGCAAUUAUUAAAGGCUAAAAGACAACACACAUAAUGGAAAAGCUUAGACUUUUGGAAUCGGAGGCUGGAUUUAGAUACUAGUUUCUCUGCUUAAUCAGCUGUGCAAAUUUUGUUUCAAGUUACUUAAUCUUUCUGAGCCUGUUUUCUUAAAAUAAAACAUUUUGAAAUGGGGUAACAAUA